Molecule: long non-coding RNA, 4905 nt
Filed under: Sus scrofa (pig)
Lineage: Eukaryota; Metazoa; Chordata; Mammalia; Artiodactyla; Suidae
Description: lncRNA (ENSSSCG00000046408.1)
Source: RNAcentral
GAGAGAAUGCUUCAUGUGCAUUUGAAUGUGUAUUCUGAUUAUUAUGAAUGUUACAUACUGAAAAAAUCAAUUCUAACUGUUCUUUUGUAUCAUUUGGGAUCUCUGUUGGAUUAUUAAUUUUCCGUCUGGAAGGUAAAUUCAUUGAUGUGCGAGGUGUUAAAGCCUACAACUAUCAAUGCAUUUCUAUCAAUUUCUCCUUUUAUGUCUGUUAUUGUUUUGUGUAUUUAAGUGUUCCUAUAUUGGGUACAUAUAUGUUAAGGAGUGUUAUAUACUGUUUUUGAAUUGAUCCUUCUAACAUUAUAUAGUGUACUUUAUCUUUCUUUAUGACCUUUGGUUUAAAGUCUAUUUUGUAUCAUCUGAGUUUGUUACUACCAACUUUCUUGUCAUUUCCAUUUCCAUGAAAUAGCUUUUUCCAUCCCUUCACACUUAAUCUCUCUGUGUCCUUUGCCCUAAAGUUGGUCUCUUGAUGACAACAUAUUAUAGGGUCUUUUUUUUUUUUAAUUCUAUUUGGCACUCUCUGUCUUUGAAUUGGAAUGUUUAGUCUGUUGACAGUUAAGGUAAUUAUUAGUAGAUCAUAUUUAUUACCAUUUUAAACCUUUCCAGCUUAUUUUGUAUUUCUUCUGUGUUCCCUUAUCCUUUUAUUUUCAUUUUUGGAUUGGCGGUUUUCUUUUAUAUUAUGCUUGUUCUCUUAUUUUUGAAAUUUGUGAAUCUAUGAUAUGUAUUUGAUUUGUGUUUACUCUGUUUUUGAAAUUCUAACACAAUAUUGUAUCUACUUGAUUUAGACUGGUAUUGAUAUAGGCUCAAACACAUGAUAAAGAAAUCUAAUUUUCUUAUUAUCCUCUCCCAUAUUUUAUGAACUUGAUGUCCUCUUUUAUAUCUUCAUGUCUAUCCUUUUGCUGUUCAUUGUAGUUAUCAUCACUUUUCACACAAUUAUUUUAAAGAUAUUUUUAAGCUGUAUACUGGCUUACUUAAGUAAAUUGACUUCCAAUUGUGAUUUUUUUCUCCUUCUUAUUGAUUCUUGAUUCUUUCCUAUUUGGAGAAGCCAUGUCAGUAUUUCUCUUAGGAUAGGUUUAGUAUUGAUGGAUUCUUUCAGUUUUUGCUUGCUGGAAAAUUCUUUCUCCCAUUAUCUUCUAAAUGAUAGUUUUGCUAUAUAAAUUAUUGUAGGCUAUAUAUUUUUCCAUAUCAGGACUUUAAGUAUAUCUUGCCACUACCUUCUGGCUAGCAACAUUCCUAUAGAGCCUGAUAGCCUCAUGGGAUUACCCUUGUAAUUAACUAUGGUUUUCCUCUUGCUGCCCUUAGAAUCCUUUCUUUAACUUUUGCCAUUUCAUUUAUGUCUUGGUAUUGGUCUGUUUGGGUUCAUCUUUUCGGAGACUCUGUGCUUCCUAUACCUGGAUAUCUGUCUCCUUCUUCAGGUUUGUGAAGUUUUCAGCCAUAAUUUCUUCAAAUACCUUUUCAACCCCCCUUUCUCCUUCUUUAAUUCCUAUUAUGCACAUAUUAGGAUGCUUUAUAUUAUCCCAUAGGUCUUCUAUAUUGCUUUUAUUUUUUUAUUAGUUCUUCUGUUUGUUUUGAUUGGGUGAUUUCCAAUCUUCCAUCUUCUGGAAUACUCACUCAUUCUUCUCCAUUAUCCACUUUGUUCCUUAUUUCCUUUAACUAAGCUUUUGUCUGGGCAAAUGUGUUUUCUAAUUUUAAUGGGAUCCUCUUUAUAGUUUCUAGUUCCUUUUUAAAGUAAUCUGCAUUUAUAUCAAUAGCCUGUCUUAAUUCCUUCGGUAUUUUUAUUUCCUUUUUCAACUUGGUGUCUAUUAGAUGGAAGAGGUCUAUUUCAUUGUUUGUUCUUUCAGGGAAUUUCUCAUGAUCUUUUUAUUGGAAAGAGCUCCUCUACUUCUUCAUUUUACUUAUAUUUCUCUGACUCCAAGAGUUUAGUAUAAACAGUUAUCUACUGCUGUCUUGAAGGGCUAUUUUUAUGUGGGAGCAUCCUUAUGCAACAUGUGUGGGUUAAAUAUUUUUGGGUGUGAGAGCUUUUUUAGUAUGGAUGUCUGCUGCCUCUUUCCUCAGUGUGUGCUGGCUGUUAUUCCCCAUUAUAGAGGGUAUGAUUUGGGUUUUGGUGAUCAGAGCCCACACUGGAUGUUGAGUGUGGACUCCUCUUCGCUCUGUGAUUAUCAUAGCUCUUUGAGGGGGCAUAAUCUGCUCCCACUUACUGGAAUAAAAAACCCCAGAUGGUUUCUAAACUGCAGUAUGAGGAAGGCAGAACUGGACUACUCUUAAUAGGAGAGGAGCCACUGAAUAUUCCCCUACAGGAGCUGUCCACUGGGAAGCACACUGUGUUGUGUUGCCUAUAACCCAUUGUGUAGGCUCACAAAAUAGACUGUUUUUGGCACUGCAUUAAGCCCUACUUCAACUAUGGGAAUUCAUACAAUCGGCUCACAUGUCCCCCAGAUGCUGUAUGCAUGAAGCCACUAGACAGUCUUUUGGCUUGGAACUGCUGAGACACUAGGACUACCAUAGUAGCACACCUGGACCCACUGUGAGAGAUACUGGGUCAGCCCAGAUCCUGGCCCCACCUCCCCAUGUGCACACCUGCAUAGCCCAAAGCCACUAUAGCUGGACCUGUCCCAGCCUGGGGAGCACCAGUAAUCUUCUUACAUGACCCAGUGGUGCUGAAUUGACAAAGCAGUAGGUGGCAACACUGCUACAGGACUCAGAUUUCAGCCCUCCUUCCAAAAUCACUUGACUCCUGGGAAUUGGCUUGGAUUUCAUUCCUGCCUUUGUAUAUGGGAAACUCCUGGCUUCUUGUGCACUCACAGAACUUGUUGGGACAGAGAUGUGCACACUGUGAGUGUGCAGAGAAUGAAGCUGGGAUUGCAUGGCCUGCCCCUCCCUUUGAGCAUGCAUGUUAACAACAGGGCUUUAAUAGGAGACCUAGGCUUCUUCCUGCACACAUCCCCAUUUGCAACUUGAACCAAAUUCCAGCCCCUUCAGGAUUUGUCAUUGCAUAGCCAACCAUAGUCUGCUCCCUGCAGUCUGUCUGCUGAUGCCUGAGUUUUGGCCCCCAGCUCUUGCAUUCCCCAGUAGAUGCACAUCUCAGGCUGGGGAGUGCAGGGAGAUGGCAUGGACCCUUGUGCUGGUUUGUCUCUGUUCUGCCUUCAAGAAGCCAAUGGUCCCACUCUCCUAUGAACCUUUGAAGUUAUUUUUCUGCCCCAGCUGAUCUCUCUGCCCAUGAAUGGGCUUCCCAGGGUGAGGGUACUUUAAUUUUCACAGUCCCCUCCCAUGGGUUUAGGUCCCAUACCAAUUUUUUUUUUCAUACCUAGUUGUUUUUUACUGCAAUUUUUGUUUUAUGAGAUCUUCUUCCAGAAUUCAGCGUGUAUUCUGUGAGAAUUGUUCCUCAUGUAGAUGUAUUUCUGAUGUCUUUGUGGGAGGAGGUGAGCUUAACGUCCUUCUCUUCUGUUGUCUUGAUCCGGCCUCCCAUGUGUUUUUAAAGUAUAUAAUAGAAAUUUGGAUCCCUCCAGUAAUAGGUGGCAUAGGAAGACCCUGAACUCACCUCCACCUAAAAACAUUACUGAAACUAAACCUUCAUAAAUUGCAAUUCCUCCUAAAGAAGACCUGAGCCCUGAUUGAACAGCUACUGCACAUAAGGGCAAUGUAGAAACAGGGAAGGGAGGGCAAUAGAGAGAAUACAUGAUAACCCCACCCCUGAGAUGGCAACCUUCAGUAUGGAGAGAUACUGCUGAUGAGCCCAAGUGCACACUUGCCUAUUGUGGAAUGCAGUUUAAAAACAGCAGUUUAAAGGGCAUCUAGACUAUGUAAGAAGGAAAUCCCUUUUCCAACCUUAGAGCUUCUGCCAAAUGGGCAGGUAAAUGCUAGAGCCCUCUCGGAGGUUACUGAAACUACAGAGCAGUGUUGUUUGAGGACCCCGGGCCUAUACCAAUUGUGACUACACUGCCAAAGUGGCCUAGGCCCAGAGAUUGCCCCUGGCCUGAUCCCACUCCAGCUCCAGCCACGCUCCCAAGGCACCCUUGGACACAGUGCUGCCCAGGAACUUCCCACCACCCAUGGCUGUUAAUAGCCAUCCUGCCAAAAUCUACAGGCACAAGCAUUCUACACAGGGCAUGCUGCCACACAAGGUCACUCCUUCAACACCAGGUAUAGAUAACUUUUUUAUGUAAUUCAUAGACAAAAUAGAAUCUGAGAAAAGUAAAAUUAAAAAAAUAAAAUCUUAAUGAAAUGGGGAUAAGUACUUUAUGUGAUAAAGAGUUCAAAGAAAUGGUCAUAAGGAUUAUCACUGAAUUCAGGAGAAGAAUGUCAGAACUCCAGGAAGAACUUCAUCAGAGAGUUAGACAGUACAAGAAAGAACCAUACAAUAACUGAGAUUUAAAAACAAACUAGCCUGGGGGAAAUAAACAGAAGAUCAGAUCAUACCAAAGAACAAAAAAAAAGUGAUUAGGUAAUUUUCACUAUCCUCCCAAUCAGAACAAAAAAAAAAAAAAAAAAAGAGAGAGAGAGAGAAGGAAAAUAAAUGAGGACGGUUUAAGGCACUUGUGGGACAACAUCAAGCAUACUAAUACUUUUAUUAAAUGGGUAUUAUUAGUAGGAGAAGAGAAAGAGAAAGGGACAGAGGGACAGAAAACUUAAUUGAAGAAAUAGUGGCUGAAGACUUCCCGAAAGUCUUUUUGCAGACGGGGGUGGAGUUGUAUUCUUUGUUUUUCUGUUGUUUUUUGUUCUUUGUUUUUCUGUUUUGUUUUUGCUUGAGAGGGAAACAGGUAUGCAAGUACAAAAACCACAGAGUUUCAAACCAGAUGAACUCAAAGAGAUCCACUCUAAGAUGUAUCAUAAUUAAAAAUGCAAAAGUUAAAGCUAAUGAGAGGCUUCUAAAGGCAGCAAGAGAAAAGCAAAGUAUUAAUUAUAAGGGAA